Molecule: small nuclear RNA, 163 nt
Organism: Rhinopithecus roxellana (golden snub-nosed monkey)
Lineage: Eukaryota; Metazoa; Chordata; Mammalia; Primates; Cercopithecidae
Gene: U1
Rfam family: U1 spliceosomal RNA
About the family: U1 is a small nuclear RNA (snRNA) component of the spliceosome (involved in pre-mRNA splicing). Its 5' end forms complementary base pairs with the 5' splice junction, thus defining the 5' donor site of an intron.
Source: Ensembl
AUACUUACUGGCAGGGGAGAUACCAUGAUCAUGAAGGUGGUUUUCCCAGCAUGAGGCUCAUCCAUUGCACUCCAGAUGUUCUGAACCCUGCAAUUUCCCCAAACGUGGGAAAUUCAACUUCAUAAUUUGUGGUAGUGGGGGACUGUGUUUGCACUUUCCCCUG